CAGAAACCCAUGAAAACCAAAAUAUGGCACUAGAGGAGAAAGUAAUAAACUAGCUGCAAAUGUGAAUAAGCUGUAAACAAAUAAGGAGAGGCAAAGAGAGUCUGAAACAAUGUGAACUAAAGCACAAAAAUAGAGACCAGGUGUAACAAAGACCAGCUUCGUUAAUGGUGGCAGGUAGCGCACUGUACCGUGGGAGUCUUGUAUCAUCUAUAGACUCCUGGGCAUUGAAGUACUACCCUAUGUUGCCUACAUUACAAAUAGCAUUCUAGUAUGUUCUAGAAUAAUCCCAGUUAUUACCUAUAUAUCUUGGAAAGAUGUUUUCUG
Non-coding RNA from Pelobates cultripes (western spadefoot toad), 324 nucleotides. The record is from the annotation of a GenBank genome assembly. Lineage: Eukaryota; Metazoa; Chordata; Amphibia; Anura; Pelobatidae.